This 629-nucleotide ribosomal RNA is filed under the name Thalassospira permensis. RNAcentral's name for it is "bacterial SSU rRNA". It matches the Rfam family "Bacterial small subunit ribosomal RNA", at positions 89 to 753 of the family's 1533-position model. Lineage: Bacteria; Pseudomonadati; Pseudomonadota; Alphaproteobacteria; Rhodospirillales; Thalassospiraceae. The record is from RNAcentral.
UGGAGAGUGGCGCACGGGUGAGUAACGCGUGGGGACCUACCUUUCAGUGGGGGAUAACGGUUGGAAACGACCGCUAAUACCGCAUACGCCCUUCGGGGGAAAGAUUUAUCGCUGAAAGAUGGACCCGCGUUGGAUUAGAUAGUUGGUGAGGUAACGGCUCACCAAGUCAGCGAUCCAUAGCUGGUUUGAGAGGAUGAUCAGCCACACUGGGACUGAGACACGGCCCAGACUCCUACGGGAGGCAGCAGUGGGGAAUAUUGGACAAUGGGCGCAAGCCUGAUCCAGCCAUGCCGCGUGAGUGAAGAAGGCCUUCGGGUUGUAAAGCUCUUUCAGAUGCGAAGAUGAUGACGGUACCAUCAGAAGAAGCCCCGGCUAAUUUCGUGCCAGCAGCCGCGGUAAUACGAAAGGGGCAAGCGUUGUUCGGAUUUACUGGGCGUAAAGGGCACGCAGGCGGUCUUGCCAGUCAGGGGUGAAAGCCCGGGGCUCAACCCCGGAACUGCCUCUGAUACUGCAAGACUAGAGACUAGGAGAGGGUGGUGGAAUUCCCAGUGUAGAGGUGAAAUUCGUAGAUAUUGGGAGGAACACCAGAGGCGAAGGCGGCCACCUGGACUAGAUCUGACGCUCAGGUG